This 253-nucleotide ribosomal RNA is filed under the name uncultured bacterium. RNAcentral describes it as "partial 16S ribosomal RNA". It matches the Rfam family "Bacterial small subunit ribosomal RNA", at positions 524 to 776 of the family's 1533-position model. The record is from RNAcentral.
UACAGAGGUCUCAAGCGUUGUUCGGAUUCAUUGGGCGUAAAGGGUGCGUAGGUGGCGGGGUAAGUCAGGUGUGAAAUUUCGGAGCUCAACUCCGAAACUGCAUUUGAUACUGCCUUGCUUGAGGACUGGAGAGGAGACUGGAAUUCACGGUGUAGCAGUGAAAUGCGUAGAUAUCUGGAGGAAUACCGGUGGCGAAGGCGGCAUCCUGGACCGGCAUUGACGCUGAGGAGCGAAAGCUAGGGGAGCAAACGGG